Molecule: ribosomal RNA, 468 nt
Filed under: uncultured bacterium
Lineage: Bacteria
Description: partial 16S ribosomal RNA
Rfam family: Bacterial small subunit ribosomal RNA
Source: RNAcentral
GACGAACGCUGGCGGCGUGCUUAACACAUGCAAGUCGAACGGAAAGGCCCUGCUUUUGUGGGGUGCUCGAGGGGCGAACGGGUGAGUAACACGUGAGUAACCUGCCCUUGACUUUGGGAUAACUUCAGGAAACUGGGGCUAAUACCGGAUAGGAGCUCCUGCUGCAUGGGGGGGGUUGGAAAGUUUCGGCGGUUGGGGAUGGACUCGCGGCUUAUCAGCUUGUUGGUGGGGUAGUGGCUUACCAAGGCUUUGGCGGGUAGCCGGCCUGAGAGGGUGACCGGCCACAUUGGGACUGAGAUACGGCCCAGACUCCUACGGGAGGCAGCAGUGGGGAAUAUUGCACAAUGGGCGGAAGCCUGAUGCAGCAACGCCGCGUGCGGGAUGACGGCCUUCGGGUUGUAAACCGCUUUCGCCUGUGACGAAGCGUGAGUGACGGUAAUGGGUAAAGAAGCACCGGCUAACUACGUG